GUAAUCGCGGAUCAGCAUGCCGCGGUGAAUACGUUCCCGGGCCUUGUACACACCGCCCGUCACACCCAUGAGAGUCGGGAACACCCGAAGUCCGUAGCCUAACCGCAAGGAGGGCGCGGCCGAAGGUGGGUUCGAUAAUUGGGGUGAAGUCGUAACAAGGUAUC
This 164-nucleotide ribosomal RNA is filed under the name uncultured bacterium. Its description in RNAcentral is "partial 16S ribosomal RNA". It matches the Rfam family "Bacterial small subunit ribosomal RNA", at positions 1338 to 1500 of the family's 1533-position model. The record is from RNAcentral.